RNAcentral lists this ribosomal RNA (791 nucleotides) under Limnospira platensis str. extremophila. RNAcentral's name for it is "bacterial SSU rRNA". It matches the Rfam family "Bacterial small subunit ribosomal RNA", at positions 56 to 877 of the family's 1533-position model. Lineage: Bacteria; Bacillati; Cyanobacteriota; Cyanophyceae; Oscillatoriales; Sirenicapillariaceae. The record is from RNAcentral.
CGCAAGUCGAAUUGGACUCUUCGUUUGCUACCUAGUGGCGGGUGAGUAGGGUACACGAGGAUGGACACUCCCGCUUGGGUACAACAGAGGGAAACGUUAUGCUAAUCCCCACUGAGCCGAAAGGUAAAAGCAAAAUCGCAUGGGGAUGAGCUCGGGUUUGAUUAGCUAGUUGGUGAGGUAAAGGUAUCACCUAGGCGAGGAUCAUUAGCUAGGUUUGAGAGGAUGAUCAGCCACACAGGGACUGAGAUCACGACCCGGGGUCAUAGGGGGGGCAACAGUGCAGAAUUUUCCACCAUGGGCCCAACCCAACCGGAGCAAGACGGCGUGGGGGAGGAAGGUUCUUGGGUUUUAAACCCCUUUUUUCAAGGAAGAACACAAUGACGGUACUUGAGGGAUGAGCCUGGGCUAACUCCGUGCCAGCCAGCGCGGUAAUUCGGAGGAGGCAAGCGUUAUCCGGAAUGAUUGGGGGUAAAGCGUCCGUAGGGGCCAGUUCAAAUGUGGGGUCAAAAACCCCGGGUCUACUCCCGGAAGGCACCUGGAAACUGAACAGGUAGAGAACGGUAGGGGGGGAGGGAAUUCCCGGUGUAGCGGUGAAAARUGUAGAAAUUGGGAAGAACACCCGUGGNGAAAGCGGUCUCCUGGGCCGAAAUUGACACUGAGGGACGAAAACUAGGGGANNANANAAGGGAUUAGAUACCCCMGUAGUCCMACCCCUAAACKAKGCCUUWAAUAGGUGUAGCGAGUACUUUCCCGGUCGGUGCCGAAGCUAACGCGUUAAGUAUCCGCUUGGA